GACGAACGCUGGCGGCGUGCCUAAUACAUGCAAGUCGAGCGGACUUAAAAAGCUUGCUUUUUAUGUUAGCGGCGGACGGGUGAGUAACACGUGGGCAACCUGCCUGUAAGACUGGGAUAACUUCGGGAAACCGGAGCUAAUACCGGAUAAUCCUUUUCUACUCAUGUAGAAAAGCUGAAAGACGGUUUACGCUGUCACUUACAGAUGGGCCCGCGGCGCAUUAGCUAGUUGGUGAGGUACGGCUCACCAAGGCGACGAUGCGUAGCCGACCUGAGAGGGUGAUCGGCCACACUGGGACUGAGACACGGCCCAGACUCCUACGGGAGGCAGCAGUAGGGAAUCUUCCGCAAUGGACGAAAGUCUGACGGAGCAACGCCGCGUGAGUGAUGAAGGUUUUCGGAUCGUAAAACUCUGUUGUUAGGGAAGAACAAGUACGAGAGUAACUGCUCGUACCUUGACGGUACCUAACCAGAAAGCCACGGCUAACUACGUG
Molecule: ribosomal RNA, 493 nt
Filed under: uncultured bacterium
Lineage: Bacteria
Description: partial 16S ribosomal RNA
Rfam family: Bacterial small subunit ribosomal RNA
Source: RNAcentral